This 28-nucleotide non-coding RNA is filed under the name Mus musculus (house mouse). The record is from RNAcentral. Lineage: Eukaryota; Metazoa; Chordata; Mammalia; Rodentia; Muridae.
UGUCAGGGACCUCUGUGAUGCUUGUAGA